GAUGAAGAACGUAGCAAAAUGCGAUAAGUAAUGUGAAUUGCAGAAUUCAGUGAAUCAUCGAAUCUUUGAACGCACAUUGCGCCCGCCAGUAUUCUGGCGGGCAUGCCUGUUCGAGCGUCAUUUCAACCCUCAAGCACAGCUUGGUGUUGGGACUCGCGUUAAUUCGCGUUCCUCAAAUUGAUUGGCGGUCACGUCGAGCUUCCAUAGCGUAGUAGUAAAACCCUCGUUACUGGUAAUCGUCGCGGCCACGCCGUUAAACCCCAACUUCUGAAUGUUGACCUCGGAUCAGGUAGGAAUACCCGCUGAACUUAAGCAUAUCAAUAGCGGAGGA
This 331-nucleotide unclassified non-coding RNA is filed under the name soil metagenome. Its description in RNAcentral is "partial contains 5.8S ribosomal RNA, internal transcribed spacer 2, and large subunit ribosomal RNA". The stretch from base 1 to 120 matches the Rfam family "5.8S ribosomal RNA", at positions 35 to 154 of the family's 154-position model. The record is from RNAcentral.